This 318-nucleotide long non-coding RNA is filed under the name Ananas comosus (pineapple). Its description in RNAcentral is "long non-coding RNA (ACOM_LNC042552)". Lineage: Eukaryota; Viridiplantae; Streptophyta; Magnoliopsida; Poales; Bromeliaceae. The record is from RNAcentral.
UCAUUCUUUUGAAUUGUUUUGAAUUUCAGUUUAUUUACUUUCUUUAUUUCAAGUUUUAAAUAAUGUGGGAGAAUGUUAAGUUUUAAAUAAUAUGGGAGAAUGUUAGAUUUUAUUGGAUUUUUGGUGAUUUAAAACUUAUUAGGCCUCUUGGGCAGCCCAAUACUUAAUGGGCCUUUCUUGGGAACCCAACUAAGGUAUCCAUAUAUGAGGUUUUGUCCUACAUUAGAAACUAAAGGUAUGUUGUUGUUAUUUAUAUAUUGCUUGUUCUCAAGUUAGUUGCUUGGAAGAAAAUGAGAGUUAUACUCUUGACUAAACACA